This is a non-coding RNA of Azoarcus sp. CIB, 117 nucleotides long. NCBI's taxonomy places the organism in Bacteria, Pseudomonadati, Pseudomonadota, Betaproteobacteria, Rhodocyclales, Zoogloeaceae. The record is from Rfam.
UGCGUUUUUCGCCCAGGCGGAGCUCGACCGCCGAUUCAAGUCCUGAGGUCUUUCGUCGACGCGCAUCGUGAUGCUUUCGGGGUCGAGCCGAUCUGCAGGCAAUUGCAGAUCGCCCCG